Molecule: non-coding RNA, 164 nt
Filed under: uncultured Clostridium sp.
Lineage: Bacteria; Bacillati; Bacillota; Clostridia; Eubacteriales; Clostridiaceae
Source: RNAcentral
UUUUAUGGUUGCAUACGCAAUAACAGGGAAUGAGGUUAGAUUCCUCAACAGCCCCCGCUACUGUAUAAGCUACGAAACUCUUAAUAGCCACUAGGAUAAUAUCUUGGGAAGGUAAGAGGAUUAGGUUUGAAGCUUUAAGUCAGGAGACCUACCAUAAAAGUUAU